Molecule: long non-coding RNA, 576 nt
Filed under: Olea europaea (common olive)
Lineage: Eukaryota; Viridiplantae; Streptophyta; Magnoliopsida; Lamiales; Oleaceae
Description: long non-coding RNA (OEUR_LNC005015)
Source: RNAcentral
ACAAACAGAACGAAACAUUUUUAUAAAAAAAAGUUCAUCACAAAUUGUGAGCGGAAGAAAGGAAUACAAUCGACUUAGGUACAUAUUACAAUUAGUAGCAAUAUAUUAUCCGAAAUAUCGAAAGAACUCUAGCAUUGUGUGCAAAGAGAAAAUCAGAUUGAAGACUUUGAAUAACCAACAAGGAGUCACACUCAGAAAUAACAAAUCUCAUAACCGUCAGCUUCGGCAAAUGGGAGUCCUUCCCGCAAGGCCAAAGCCUCCACAACAUCCACGGGACAACAAUAGCCAGUAGAAACCUCAUUCGGAGGGAAUUGAUCCCAAUGCAAUAGCUCACCACUAGUUCAUGCUGUUUAGUUUUAAUUUGUCGUGUGGCUUACACAUGCAAUUAAGUAUAUAUUAAAGGUUAUCUUAAAGUUAAGUCCGUUUAAAAAUCAGAAUGAUAAUAUAAUUUUUAAUACUAAAUAAUAGUAUUAUAAAAUUCAAUUAAUUAUAUACCCACACUUUAAACCCUAAAAUUCAUUUCCUUCAUCAUUUUCAAUCAAUUCUCACUCUCUCUACUAUACCUCUCCUUCUCUC